AAAAAAAAAACAAAAGAAAACAUGAAGUGGGAAGGGAGGAUACAUUGUGCACAUACCUCAAAGAAAUGAGAGUGAAUGAAACUGGCAAGACACUGGGAGGGCACACCUGUGAGGUAAAUCAGAGGGAAAUGAGAAGAGCAUGGUGCCCUAGAAACCAAGUGAAGCCAGGGUUUCAAGGAGGAGGGGUCAACUCACGAGACGCUGCUGAUGCACUGCGAUGAGGAUAGAAAACUAGGCAGAAGCCUUAACCACAGGGAGGGCACAGCAUCCUUGACAAGGGCAGGCGGGGGACAGUGGGACGUGAGAAAUCUGAAGUUCAAGGUAGACCAGGUGCAGUGGCUCAUGCCUGUAAUCCCACUACUUUAGAAGGCCAAGGUGAGAGGAUCACUUGAGCCCAGGAGUUCGAGACCAGCCUGGGCAACAUAACGUAGUGAGACCCCCUCAUCUCUUCUUCCUUUUUUUUUUUUUUUUUCUUUAGACGGAGUCUCGCUCUGUCGCCUAGGCUGGAGUGCAGUGGUGCGAUCUCGGCUCACUGCAACCUCCGCCUCCCAGGUUCAAGCGAUUCUCCUGCCUUAAACUCCCAAGUAGCUUCUACAGGCGCGUGCUACCACACCCGGCUAAUUUUUGUAUUUUUAGUAGACGGGGUUUCACAGUGUUAGCCAGGAUGGUCUCCAUCUCCUGAUCUCGUGAUCCGCCCACCUCAGCCUCCCAAAGUGUUGGGAUUACAGGCGUGAGCCACCAUGCCUGGCCUUUUUUUUUUUUUUUUUUUUGAGAUGCAGUCUCACUCUGUCACCCAGGCUGGAAUGCAGUGGCAUGAUCUCAGCUCACUGCAACCUCUGCCUCCCAGGUUCAAGCGAUUCUCUCGCCUCAGCCUCCCGAGUAGCUUGGACUACAGGCACACACCACCAUGCCUGGCUAAUUUUUUUUUUUUUUUUUUUUUUUUUUGAGACAGAGUCUGGCUCUGUCACCCAGACUGGAGUGCAGUGGCGCAAUCUCGUGCAAUCUCGGCUCACUGCAACCUCUGCCUCCCAGGUUCAGGCGAUUCUCCUGCCUCAGCCUCCUGAGUAGCUGGGACUAGAGGCGGGUGCCACCACACCCAGCUAAUUUUUGUAUUUUUAGUAGAGAUGGGGUUUCACCAUAUUGCUCAGGCUGGUCUUGAACUCCUGACCUCAUGAUCUGUCUGCCUCAGCCUCCCAAAGUGCUGGGAUUACAGGUGUGAGCCACCAUGCCCGGCGAUGCCUGGCUAAUUUUUGUAUUUUCAGUAGAGACGGGGUUUUACCAUAUUGGCCAGGUGGCUCUGAAACUCCUGACCUCAAGUGAUCUGCCCGCCUUGGCCUCCCAAAGUGUUGGGAUUACAGGCAUGAUCCACCACGCCUGGACUUUUUUUUCCUUUCUUCUUCUUUUUUUUUUUUUUUGAGAUGGAGUCUCACUGUCGCCCAGGCUGGAGCGCAGUGGUGCGAUCUCGGCUCACUGCAACCUCUGCCUCCAGGGUUCAAGCAAUUCUCCUGCCUCAGCCUCCUGGGUAGCUGGGAUUACAGGCGUGUGCCACCACACCCAGCUAAUUUUUGUAUUUUUAAUGAAGACGGGGUUUCACCAUGUUCAGGCUGGUCUUGAACUCCUGACCUCGUGAUCCUCCCACCUCAGCCUCCCAAAAUGCUGGGAUUACAGGCGUGAGCCACUGUGCCUGGCCUUUUUUUUUUGUAGAGACAAGAAUUCACUUUGUUGCCCAGGCUGUUCUCAAAUUCCUGGCAUCAAGCGAUCUUCCUGCCUUGGCCUCCCAAAGUGCCAGGAUUAUAGGCGUGAGCCACCACGCUUGGCCCAAGACCCCCAGGUCUACAAAAAACAAAAAACUAGGCUGGGCACGGCGAUUCACACCUGUAAUCCCAGCACUUUGGGAGGCCAAGGCAGGCAGAUCACCCGAGGACAGGAGUUCAAGAUCAGCCUGGCCAAUAUGGUGAAACCCCAUCUCUACUAAAAAUACAAAAAAUUAGGCAGGCGUGGUGGUACAUGCCUCUAGUCCCAGCUACUUGGGAGGCUGAGGUGGGAGAAUCACUUGAGCCCAGGAGUUUGAGACUCAGUGAGCCAUGAUCACACCACUGCGCUCCAGCCUGGGUGACACAGCCAGACCCCAUCUCUAAAAAAGAAAAAGAAGUUGAAGGGGGUUAAGAGCAAACAGGGAAGGGAGGAAUUGGGGAUGUGAAUAUAAGCAACUUUUUGGAAUUUAGUUAUAAAGGGAAGCAAAGAAAUGACACAGUAGCUGGAAGGGGAAUGUGGCACCAAGAAAAGACUAUUUUGUCUCACUCUGUUGCCCAGGCUGGAGUACAAUGGCAUGAUCAUGGCUCACUGCAACCUCCGCCUCCAGGGUUCAAGCAAUUCUCCCGCCUCAGAGUCCUGAGUCGCUGGAACUACAGAUGCACACCACCAUGCCUAAUUUUUCUACUUCUAGUAGAGAUGAGGUUUCACCAUGUUGGUCAGACUGGUCUUGAACUCCUGACCUCAGAUGAUCUGCCCGCCUUGGCUUCCCAAAGUGCUGGGAUUACAAGCAUGAGCUACUGUGCCCGGCCUUUUUUAUUUUUUUGAGAUAGAGUUUUGCUGUUGUUGCCCAGGCUGGAGUGCAAUGGCAUGAUCCUGGCUCACUGCAACCUCAGCCUCCCAGGUUCAAGUGAUUCUCCUGUCUCAGCCUCCUGAGUAGCUGGGAUUACAGGCGCCUGCCACCAUGCCCAGCUAACUUUUGUAUUUUUAGUAGAUAUGGGGUUUCACCACGUUGGCCAGGCUGGUCUCAAACUCCUGACCUCAAGUGAUCCACCUGCCUCAGCCUCCCAAAGUGUUGGGAUUACAGGCGUGAGCCACCACGCCUGGCUUUUUUUUUUUUUUUUUUUUUUGAGACAGGGUAUUAUUAUGUCAGCAAGGCUGGAGUGCAGUGGCACUAUCACGGCUCACUGCAGCCUUGACCUCCCCAGGUUUGUGAUCCUUCCACCUCAGCCUCCAGAGUAGCUGGAAAUACAGGCGUGCGCCACCACACCCAGCUAAUUUUUUACUUUUUGGAAAGAUGGGGUUUCACCAUGUUGUUCAGGCUGGUCUGACACUCCUGGGCUCAAGCAAUCCUCCCACCUUAGCCUCCCAAACUGCUGGGAUUACAGGCAUGAACCACCGUGCCCAGCAAGAAAAGAUUUUUUUCCAAGAUAGAAGACCAAGUGAGAUCCUCACUUACGCUUCUCUUCAUCUCUCCUUUUUUUUUUUUGAGACGGAGUCUCGCUCUGUUGCCCAAUCUGCAAUGCGUGGCACAAUCUCAGCUCACUGCAACGUCUGCUUCCCAGGUUCAAGAAAUUCUCCCACCUCAGCCUCCCGAGUAACUGGGAUUACAGGCUUGUGCCACAACACCUGGCUAAUUUUUGUAUUUUUAGUAGAGACGGGGUUUCACCAUGUUGGCCAGGCAGGUCUCGAACUCCUGACCUCAGAUGAUCCGCCUGCCUUGGCCUCCCAAAGUGCUGGGAUUACAGGUGUGAGCCACCACACCUGGCCCUCAUCUCUCCUCUUGCUUGACAAACCUACACAGCCUUUUUGACCUGCCUCCUCAAACCCAGAAAUAUUUUUGCAAAGCUCUAUUCCCCAGAGGAUUCUGAGCUGUAGGAGGUGAAAGCCAGGGUCCUUUGUUCCUGCUUUCUUUGUUCCGACUUUAUGCUCUGUGGCUUUCAUCUCCUGGGGCAAUGAGUUGGGCUGCCCUUUGGCAGGGCUCAGGACCAGGGUGUGAAAUUCUAGAGCAGAAAGAACAAAGUUAGAUAUUUCAAAAUAUCAUCCUGCUCCUUUUAUUUCAGGCCCUUGAUCCACUUGGAUGCCCCUUUCUUUUUUUAUUUAUUUUUUAUUUUUGACAGUCUCGCUCUGUCGCCCAGGCUGCAAUGGUGCGAUCUCAGCUCCCUGCAACCUCCACCUCCCAGGUUCAAGCAAUUCUCCUGCCUCAGCCUCCCAAGUAGCUGGGAUUACAGGCGCCUGCUACCACACCCAGCUAACUUUUUGUAUUUUUUUUAGUAGAGAUGGGGUUUUGCCAUGUUGGCCAGGCUGGUCUCGAACUCCUGACCUCAGGUGAUCCACCCACCUCAGCCUCCCAAAGUGCUGGGAUUACAGACGUGAGCCACCGCAUCUGACCUGUAGAUGAACCUUUCUAAACAGGGCCCGCACUGGGCUGUGGGACUCCCUGCCUUCUGCAGGUUUGGUGGGGCAGAUACCUUUCUCCACCCUAGGACUGUAUUUGUUUUCAAGUAGUCUGGCCAAAGCAAUAUUCCCUAAACUUUAGGCAUUCUUGGAUCCCUUUAUGAGUUUUGCUAUUUUGGCAUGCUACAUGUAAGUUUUGCUUAAUGUUUUUAUGUAAAGCAUCUUCCUCCUUUUACUUCUUUUAUUGUGAUAAAACUCAUAUAAAAUUGACCGUUUUGAAGUGUACCAUUCAGUGACUUUUAUUACAAUGUUGCAAAACUAUCACCACUAUAGUGCCAAUUUCUCAUCAGCCCAAAAGGAAGCCCCCUUGUGUUUACACACACACACACACACACACACACACACACAAACUGUGUCCUCCCAUCCCUUGG
Molecule: long non-coding RNA, 4580 nt
Filed under: Homo sapiens (human)
Lineage: Eukaryota; Metazoa; Chordata; Mammalia; Primates; Hominidae
Description: non-protein coding lnc-CANX-1:10
Source: RNAcentral